AGCGAACGCUGGCGGCGGGCCUAACACAUGCAAGUCGAGCGGCCGUAGCAAUACGGCAGCGGCAGACGGGAGAGUAACACGUGGGAACGCGCCCUUCGGUUCGGAAUAACUCAGGGAAACUUGAGCUAAUACCGGAUACGCCCUUACGGGGAAAGAUUUAUUGCCGAAGGAACGGCCCGCGUCCGAUUAGCUAGUUGGUGAGGUAAUGGCUCACCAAGGCGACGAUCGGUAGCUGGUCUGAGAGGAUGACCAGCCUCACUGGGACUGAGACACGGCCCAGACUCCUACGGGAGGCAGCAGUGGGGAAUAUUGGACAAUGGGCGCAAGCCUGAUCCAGCCAUGCCGCGUGGAUGAUGAAGGCCCUAGGGUUGUAAAGUCCUUUUAACGGGGAAG
This 393-nucleotide ribosomal RNA is filed under the name uncultured bacterium. RNAcentral describes it as "bacterial SSU rRNA". It matches the Rfam family "Bacterial small subunit ribosomal RNA", at positions 29 to 447 of the family's 1533-position model. The record is from RNAcentral.